CCUACGGGGGGCUGCAGUGAGGAAUAUUGGUCAAUGGACGCAAGUCUGAACCAGCCAUGCCGCGUGCAGGAAGACGGCUCUAUGAGUUGUAAACUGCUUUUGUACGAGGGUAAACGCAGAUACGCGUAUCUGUCCGAAAGUAUCGUACGAAUAAGGAUCGGCUAACUCCGUGCCAGCAGCCGCGGUAAUACGGAGGAUGCGAGCGUGAUCCGGAUUUGUUGGGUUUAAAGGGUGCGUAGGCGGUCCGGAAAGUCAGCGGUAAAAGCCCGGGGCUCAACCCCGGCGAGCCGUUGAAACUGUCGGACUAGAGACGGCGAGAGGUACGCGGAAUGCGCGGUGUAGCGGUGAAAUGCAUAGAUAUCGCGCAGAACUCCGAUUGCGAAGGCAGCGUACCGGCGCCGGACUGACGCUGAGGCACGAAAGCGUGGGUAUCGAACAGGAUUAGAUACCCUAGUAGUC
RNAcentral lists this ribosomal RNA (459 nucleotides) under uncultured bacterium. RNAcentral describes it as "partial 16S ribosomal RNA". It matches the Rfam family "Bacterial small subunit ribosomal RNA", at positions 338 to 795 of the family's 1533-position model. The record is from RNAcentral.